RNAcentral lists this transfer RNA (70 nucleotides) under Loxodonta africana (African savanna elephant). It matches the Rfam family "tRNA". From Rfam's summary of the family: Transfer RNA (tRNA) molecules are approximately 80 nucleotides in length. Their secondary structure includes four short double-helical elements and three loops (D, anti-codon, and T loops). Lineage: Eukaryota; Metazoa; Chordata; Mammalia; Proboscidea; Elephantidae. The record is from Rfam by way of RNAcentral.
GCGGUGGUGGUUCAAUGGUAGAAUUCUCACCUCCAAUGUGGGAGACCAGGUUUGAUUUCUGACCAAUGCA